This 402-nucleotide ribosomal RNA is filed under the name uncultured bacterium. Its description in RNAcentral is "bacterial SSU rRNA". It matches the Rfam family "Bacterial small subunit ribosomal RNA", at positions 355 to 774 of the family's 1533-position model. The record is from RNAcentral.
UGGGGAAUCUUAGACAAUGGGCGCAAGCCUGAUCUAGCCAUGCCGCGUGAGUGAUGAAGGCCCUAGGGUCGUAAAGCUCUUUCGCCUGUGAAGAUAAUGACGGUAGCAGGUAAAGAAACCCCGGCUAACUCCGUGCCAGCAGCCGCGGUAAUACGGAGGGGGUUAGCGUUGUUCGGAAUUACUGGGCGUAAAGCGCGCGUAGGCGGAUCGGAAAGUUGGGGGUGAAAUCCCGGGGCUCAACCCCGGAACUGCCUCCAAAACUACUGGUCUUGAGUUCGAGAGAGGUGAGUGGAAUUCCGAGUGUAGAGGUGAAAUUCGUAGAUAUUCGGAGGAACACCAGUGGCGAAGGCGGCUCACUGGCUCGAUACUGACGCUGAGGUGCGAAAGUGUGGGGAGCAAACA